UACGGAGGAUCCGAGCGUUAUCCGGAUUUAUUGGGUUUAAAGGGAGAGUAGGCGGGUUGUUAAGUCAGUUGUGAAAGUUUGCGGCUCAACCGUAAAAUUGCAGUUGAUACUGGCAUCCUUGAGUACAGUAGAGGUAGGCGGAAUUCGUGGUGUAGCGGUGAAAUGCUUAGAUAUCACGCAGAACUCCGAUCGCGAAGGCAGCCUACCGGCGCGCAACUGACGCUCAUGCACGAAAGCGUGGGUAUCGAACAGG
RNAcentral lists this ribosomal RNA (253 nucleotides) under uncultured Bacteroides sp. Its description in RNAcentral is "partial 16S ribosomal RNA". It matches the Rfam family "Bacterial small subunit ribosomal RNA", at positions 524 to 776 of the family's 1533-position model. Lineage: Bacteria; Pseudomonadati; Bacteroidota; Bacteroidia; Bacteroidales; Bacteroidaceae. The record is from RNAcentral.